This 881-nucleotide ribosomal RNA is filed under the name Listeria monocytogenes. RNAcentral describes it as "partial 23S ribosomal RNA". It matches the Rfam family "Bacterial large subunit ribosomal RNA", at positions 451 to 1333 of the family's 2925-position model. The record is from RNAcentral. Lineage: Bacteria; Bacillati; Bacillota; Bacilli; Caryophanales; Listeriaceae.
GACCAUCUCCCAAGGCUAAAUACUCCCUAGUGACCGAUAGUGAACCAGUACCGUGAGGGAAAGGUGAAAAGCACCCCGGAAGGGGAGUGAAACAGUUCCUGAAACCGUGUGCCUACAAGUAGUUAGAGCCCGUUAAUGGGUGAUAGCGUGCCUUUUGUAGAAUGAACCGGCGAGUUACGAUUUGUUGCAAGGUUAAGCGGAAAAAGCGGAGCCGUAGCGAAAGCGAGUCUGAAUAGGGCGCAUAAGUAACAGGUCGUAGACCCGAAACCAGGUGAUCUACCCAUGUCCAGGAUGAAGGUAAGGUAAUACUUACUGGAGGUCCGAACCCACGCACGUUGAAAAGUGCGGGGAUGAGGUGUGGGUAGCGGAGAAAUUCCAAUCGAACUUGGAGAUAGCUGGUUCUCUCCGAAAUAGCUUUAGGGCUAGCCUCGAGGUAAAGAGUCAUGGAGGUAGAGCACUGUUUGGACUAGGGGCCCUUCUCGGGUUACCGAAUUCAGAUAAACUCCGAAUGCCAUGUACUUAUACUCGGGAGUCAGACUGCGAGUGAUAAGAUCCGUAGUCGAAAGGGAAACAGCCCAGACCACCAGUUAAGGUCCCCAAAUAUAUGUUAAGUGGAAAAGGAUGUGGGGUUGCUUAGACAACCAGGAUGUUGGCUUAGAAGCAGCCACCAUUGAAAGAGUGCGUAAUAGCUCACUGGUCGAGUGACCCCGCGCCGAAAAUGUACCGGGGCUAAACAUAUUACCGAAACUGUGGAUGAACCUCUUUAGAGGUUCGUGGUAGGAGAGCGUUCUAAGGGCGGUGAAGUCAGACCGGAAGGACUGGUGGAGCGCUUAGAAGUGAGAAUGCCGGUAUGAGUAGCGAAAGAAGGGUGAGAAUCCCUU